RNAcentral lists this ribosomal RNA (430 nucleotides) under uncultured bacterium. RNAcentral describes it as "bacterial SSU rRNA". It matches the Rfam family "Bacterial small subunit ribosomal RNA", at positions 355 to 776 of the family's 1533-position model. The record is from RNAcentral.
UGGGGAAUCUUGCGCAAUGGACGAAAGUCUGACGCAGCCACGCCGCGUGAGUGAAGACGGCCUUAGGGUUGUAAAGCUCUGUCGAGCGGGACGAAAAUUAUUUGUGCUAAUACCACAGGUAACUGACGGUACCGCUAAAGGAAGCACCGGCUAACUCCGUGCCAGCAGCCGCGGUAAUACGGAGGGUGCAAGCGUUGCUCGGAAUUAUUGGGCGUAAAGGGUAGGUAGGUGGUCUCAUUUGUCAGAGGUGAAAGCCUUGAGCUUAACUCAAGAAGUGCCUCUGAAACGGUGAGACUGGAGUCCUGGAGAGGGUCGUGGAAUUCCCGGUGUAGCGGUGAAAUGCGUAGAGAUCGGGAGGAACACCAGAGGCGAAGGCGGCGACCUGGACAGGUACUGACACUCAACUACGAAAGCGUGGGGAGCAAACAGG